This 2729-nucleotide ribosomal RNA is filed under the name Escherichia coli. Its description in RNAcentral is "partial 23S ribosomal RNA". It matches the Rfam family "Bacterial large subunit ribosomal RNA". Lineage: Bacteria; Pseudomonadati; Pseudomonadota; Gammaproteobacteria; Enterobacterales; Enterobacteriaceae. The record is from RNAcentral.
AGGUUAAUGAGGCGAACCGGGGGAACUGAAACAUCUAAGUACCCCGAGGAAAAGAAAUCAACCGAGAUUCCCCCAGUAGCGGCGAGCGAACGGGGAGGAGCCCAGAGCCUGAAUCAGUGUGUGUGUUAGUGGAAGCGUCUGGAAAGGCGUGCGAUACAGGGUGACAGCCCCGUACACAAAAAUGCACAUACUGUGAGCUCGAUGAGUAGGGCGGGACACGUGGUAUCCUGUCUGAAUAUGGGGGGACCAUCCUCCAAGGCUAAAUACUCCUGACUGACCGAUAGUGAACCAGUACCGUGAGGGAAAGGCGAAAAGAACCCCGGCGAGGGGAGUGAAAAAGAACCUGAAACCGUGUACGUACAAGCAGUGGGAGCCUCUUAAUGGGGUGACUGCGUACCUUUUGUAUAAUGGGUCAGCGACUUAUAUUCUGUAGCAAGGUUAACCGAAUAGGGGAGCCGAAGGGAAACCGAGUCUUAACUGGGCGUUAAGUUGCAGGGUAUAGACCCGAAACCCGGUGAUCUAGCCAUGGGCAGGUUGAAGGUUGGGUAACACUAACUGGAGGACCGAACCGACUAAUGUUGAAAAAUUAGCGGAUGACUUGUGGCUGGGGGUGAAAGGCCAAUCAAACCGGGAGAUAGCUGGUUCUCCCCGAAAGCUAUUUAGGUAGCGCCUCGUGAAUUCAUCUCCGGGGGUAGAGCACUGUUUCGGCAAGGGGGUCAUCCCGACUUACCAACCCGAUGCAAACUGCGAAUACCGGAGAAUGUUAUCACGGGAGACACACGGCGGGUGCUAACGUCCGUCGUGAAGAGGGAAACAACCCAGACCGCCAGCUAAGGUCCCAAAGUCAUGGUUAAGUGGGAAACGAUGUGGGAAGGCCCAGACAGCCAGGAUGUUGGCUUAGAAGCAGCCAUCAUUUAAAGAAAGCGUAAUAGCUCACUGGUCGAGUCGGCCUGCGCGGAAGAUGUAACGGGGCUAAACCAUGCACCGAAGCUGCGGCAGCGACACUAUGUGUUGUUGGGUAGGGGAGCGUUCUGUAAGCCUGUGAAGGUGUACUGUGAGGUAUGCUGGAGGUAUCAGAAGUGCGAAUGCUGACAUAAGUAACGAUAAAGCGGGUGAAAAGCCCGCUCGCCGGAAGACCAAGGGUUCCUGUCCAACGUUAAUCGGGGCAGGGUGAGUCGACCCCUAAGGCGAGGCCGAAAGGCGUAGUCGAUGGGAAACAGGUUAAUAUUCCUGUACUUGGUGUUACUGCGAAGGGGGGACGGAGAAGGCUAUGUUGGCCGGGCGACGGUUGUCCCGGUUUAAGCGUGUAGGCUGGUUUUCCAGGCAAAUCCGGAAAAUCAAGGCUGAGGCGUGAUGACGAGGCACUACGGUGCUGAAGCAACAAAUGCCCUGCUUCCAGGAAAAGCCUCUAAGCAUCAGGUAACAUCAAAUCGUACCCCAAACCGACACAGGUGGUCAGGUAGAGAAUACCAAGGCGCUUGAGAGAACUCGGGUGAAGGAACUAGGCAAAAUGGUGCCGUAACUUCGGGAGAAGGCACGCUGAUAUGUAGGUGAAGUCCCUCGCGGAUGGAGCUGAAAUCAGUCGAAGAUACCAGCUGGCUGCAACUGUUUAUUAAAAACACAGCACUGUGCAAACACGAAAGUGGACGUAUACGGUGUGACGCCUGCCCGGUGCCGGAAGGUUAAUUGAUGGGGUUAGCGGUAACGCGAAGCUCUUGAUCGAAGCCCCGGUAAACGGCGGCCGUAACUAUAACGGUCCUAAGGUAGCGAAAUUCCUUGUCGGGUAAGUUCCGACCUGCACGAAUGGCGUAAUGAUGGCCAGGCUGUCUCCACCCGAGACUCAGUGAAAUUGAACUCGCUGUGAAGAUGCAGUGUACCCGCGGCAAGACGGAAAGACCCCGUGAACCUUUACUAUAGCUUGACACUGAACAUUGAGCCUUGAUGUGUAGGAUAGGUGGGAGGCUUUGAAGUGUGGACGCCAGUCUGCAUGGAGCCGGCCUUGAAAUACCACCCUUUAAUGUUUGAUGUUCUAACGUUGGCCCCUGACCGGGGUUGCGGACAGUGUCUGGUGGGUAGUUUGACUGGGGCGGUCUCCUCCUAAAGAGUAACGGAGGAGCACGAAGGUUGGCUAAUCCUGGUCGGACAUCAGGAGGUUAGUGCAAUGGCAUAAGCCAGCUUGACUGCGAGCGUGACGGCGCGAGCAGGUGCGAAAGCAGGUCAUAGUGAUCCGGUGGUUCUGAAUGGAAGGGCCAUCGCUCAACGGAUAAAAGGUACUCCGGGGAUAACAGGCUGAUACCGCCCAAGAGUUCAUAUCGACGGCGGUGUUUGGCACCUCGAUGUCGGCUCAUCACAUCCUGGGGCUGAAGUAGGUCCCAAGGGUAUGGCUGUUCGCCAUUUAAAGUGGUACGCGAGCUGGGUUUAGAACGUCGUGAGACAGUUCGGUCCCUAUCUGCCGUGGGCGCUGGAGAACUGAGGGGGGCUGCUCCUAGUACGAGAGGACCGGAGUGGACGCAUCACUGGUGUUCGGGUUGUCAUGCCAAUGGCACUGCCCGGUAGCUAAAUGCGGAAGAGAUAAGUGCUGAAAGCAUCUAAGCACGAAACUUGCCCCGAGAUGAGUUCUCCCUGACUCCUUGAGAGUCCUGAAGGAACGUUGAAGACGACGACGUUGAUAGGCCGGGUGUGUAAGCGCAGCGAUGCGUUGAGCUAACCGGUACUAAUGAACCGUGAGG